UUCGCAAUGCCCGAAAGGGUGACGAAGCGACGCCGCGUGGAUGAAGAAGGCCUUCGGGUUGUAAAAUCCUGUCAGGAGUUAAGAAAUGUAAGUUUGAUAAUACCAAAUUUACUUGACAAAGGCUCCAAAGGAAGCCACGGCUAACUCUGUGCCAGCAGCCGCGGUAAUACAGAGGUGGCGAGCGUUGUUCGGAAUUAUUGGGCGUAAAGAGCACGUAGGUGGAUUUGUAAGUCAGAUGUGAAAGCCUUCUGUUCAACGGAAGAAUUGCAUCUGAAACUACAAACCUUGAGUAUAGGAGGGGAGAGUGGAACUUCUGGUGGAGCGGUGAAAUGCGUAGAUAUCAGAAGGAACGCCGGCGGCGAAAGCGACUCUCUGGCCUAUUACUGACACUGAGUGUGCGAAAGCUAGGGGAGCAAACGGGAUUAGAUACCCCGGUAGUCCUAGCCGUAAACGAUGGGCACUAAGUAGAGGGGUUUU
RNAcentral lists this ribosomal RNA (477 nucleotides) under uncultured bacterium. RNAcentral's name for it is "bacterial SSU rRNA". It matches the Rfam family "Bacterial small subunit ribosomal RNA", at positions 365 to 832 of the family's 1533-position model. The record is from RNAcentral.